GUGUGUCAGUUAAAUGCACAACCUUUUUAUUUGUAUUUUGAGGUUUAUGUCAUUAUUUUUGAUAUGGUAUUGAUAUGUACUACAGCUCCGGUGAACCCUGAAGUAGUCUCAGGUAGAGGGGGUGGGAGCAAGUGGGGAGCCGUGUGCACUCUGCAGGAAGCGAGAGAGACGAGAGCUGAACAGUGUCGAGUGAACGCAGAGUUCAUAGAGGGCCGACGGACGUAUUUUCGGGUUGACGGAUAGUUAACUGGAGUGAAAAGCUGUUGUACCCUACUGUGAGUAGGAGGAGACGGACGUCUUGCUGGCGUGUCGGAGAAGUCCCUUCUGCUGGUGUGCUGAACUUAUGUGUUCACGUGGGAGCACGUGGCGAGGACGACUGUGAGUGCUGCUGCCGUGGCCUGCUGGUAGCCUUGACCCAGUUUCCCCUGCUAUCCCCUUGAACUGCCUGGAGGUGUGAGUACUGUUUGCACGUGCUUUUUAUUUUACUGCUUGGCAACAAGUGAAGCGACCAUAUUGUUUUAGGUCCCAACGCACCCGAGCCACGACUCAGGCCUGCAACGAGGGGUUGGCUAGCAGAAAGACUGUAGCACUUGAGGUCUGUGUGUGUCGGUGAGAGUGUGUGUGGGCCCACAAUAUUGUUUGAUUAUUUUGUUUCUGUUAAAGUAGAUACAUUACAUUGUUUAACAAACUUUAUUAAUUUUACUUAUUUUCUUCUGUGUCGUUAAUUAAUCAUUUACUAAAGUGGAGUUAACUUU
Oreochromis aureus is the source of this 755-nucleotide long non-coding RNA. RefSeq lists it as uncharacterized. The record is from RefSeq and is a predicted model, not a curated record. The transcript has 2 exons. Lineage: Eukaryota; Metazoa; Chordata; Actinopteri; Cichliformes; Cichlidae.